GAACCACCCGAUCCCAUCCCGAACUCGGAAGUGAAACGACUCAGCGCCGAUGAUAGUGUGGGGCCUCCCCAUGCGAAAGUAGGUCACUGCCAGGC
Molecule: ribosomal RNA, 95 nt
Filed under: Ectothiorhodospira mobilis
Lineage: Bacteria; Pseudomonadati; Pseudomonadota; Gammaproteobacteria; Chromatiales; Ectothiorhodospiraceae
Source: RNAcentral